UGCGAUAAGCCUAGGGGAGACGAUAACCGGUCUGUGAUCCUAGGAUUUCCGAAUGGGGAAACCCGGCCGCAUGUCAUGUGUGGUCACCGCCGUCUGAAUAUAUAGGGCGUGCGGGGGGAACGCGGGGAAGUGAAACAUCUCAGUACCCGCAGGAAGAGAAAACAACAGUGAUUCCGUGAGUAGUGGCGAGCGAAAGCGGAUGGGGCUAAACCGGUUGCGUGUGAUACCCGGCAGGGGUUGCGUUUCCGGGGUUGUGGGACCGUUCGUCCAGAGUCUGCCGGCUCUGGCGCGUGAGGUGCGGGCGUAUAGGUGAACAGGUUUGAAUGCCUGACCGUAGAGGGUGUGAGUCCCGUAACCGUAAUGCGUUCCGCCGCGUGGUGGCGAGUUCCCGAGUAGCACGGGGCCCGAGAAAUCCCGUGUGAAUCUGCCAGGACCACCUGGUAAGCCUGAAUACUCCCUGAUGACCGAUAGCGGACCAGUACCGUGAGGGAAAGGUGAAAAGUACCCCGGGAGGGGAGUGAAAUAGUACCUGAAACCGUGUGCUUACAAUCCGUUAGAGCCUGACACCCUUGUGGUGGGUGGGUGAUAGCGUGCCUUUUGAAGAAUGAGCCUGCGAGUUAGUGUUACGUCGCGAGGUUAACCCGUGUGGGGAAGCCGUAGCGAAAGCGAGUCUGAAUAGGGCGUGCAGUGGCGUGAUCUAGACCCGAAGCGAAGUGAUCUACCCAUGGCCAGGUUGAAGCGACGGUAAGACGUCGUGGAGGACCGAACCCACUUCAGUUGAAAAUGGAGGGGAUGAGCUGUGGGUAGGGGUGAAAGGCCAAUCAAACUUCGUGAUAGCUGGUUCUCCCCGAAAUGCAUUUAGGUGCAGCGUUGCGUGUUUCUUGCCGGAGGUAGAGCUACUGGAUGGCCGAUGGGCCCUAAAAGGUUACUGACGUCAGCCAAACUCCGAAUGCCGGUAAGUGAGAGCGCAGCAGUGAGACCGUGGGGGAUAAGCUUCAUGGUCGAGAGGGAAACAGCCCAGACCACCGACUAAGGCCCCUAAGCGUGUGCUAAGUGGGAAAGGAUGUGGAGUUGCUUAGACAACCAGGAGGUUGGCUUAGAAGCAGCCACCCUUGAAAGAGUGCGUAAUAGCUCACUGGUCAAGUGAUUCCGCGCCGACAAUGUAGCGGGGCUCAAGUACACCGCCGAAGUCGUGGCAUUCAUACAUUUCCUAGCCUUCGUGGUUCAGGGGUGUGGAUGGGUAGGGGAGCGUCGUGUGGGCAGUGAAGCUGCGGGGUGACCCAGUGGUGGAGCCCACACGAGUGAGAAUGCAGGCAUGAGUAGCGAAAGACGGGUGAGAAACCCGUCCGCCGAAUGAUCAAGGGUUCCAGGGUCAAGCUAAUCUGCCCUGGGUGAGUCGGGACCUAAGGCGAGGCCGACAGGCGUAGUCGAUGGACAACGGGUUGAUAUUCCCGUACCGGCGAAGAACCGCCCAUACUGAUCCGGGGAUACUAACCACCCCAACCGGUCACCGGGAUCCCUUCGGGGUUCCCACCGAUCGCGCGGCGUGGGACCUGAUCCGGGGAGGUAAGCGUAUUAACAGGUGUGACGCAGGAAGGUAGCCAGGCCGGGCGAUGGUAGUCCCGGUCCAAGCAGGUAGGCUGUCCCAUUGGCAAAUCCGUGGGGCGUACGGCCGAGACGUGAUGGGACCCCCUUACGGGGGAAUCUGGUGAUCCUCUGCUGCCGAGAAAAGCAUCGACGCGAGGUUCUAGCCGCCCGUACCCGAAACCGACACAGGUGAUCAGGUAGAGAAUACCAAGGCGAUCGAGAGAAUUAUGGUUAAGGAACUCGGCAAAAUGCCCCCGUAACUUCGGGAGAAGGGGGGCCUGCCCCGUGACGGCACUUCGCGUGCUCGAGCGGGUGUGGGCCGCAGAGACCAGGGGGAAGCGACUGUUUACUAAAAACACAGGUCCGUGCGAAGUCGCAAGACGAUGUAUACGGACUGACUCCUGCCCGGUGCUGGAAGGUUAAGAGGACCGGUUAGCGCCUUCGGGUGCGAAGCUGGGAAUUUAAGCCCCAGUAAACGGCGGUGGUAACUAUAACCAUCCUAAGGUAGCGAAAUUCCUUGUCGGGUAAGUUCCGACCUGCACGAAUGGAGUAACGACUUCCCCGCUGUCUCAACCAUAAACUCGGCGAAAUUGCACUACGAGUAAAGAUGCUCGUUACGCGCAGCAGGACGGAAAGACCCCGAGACCUUUACUAUAGUUUGGUAUUGGUGUUCGGUGCGGUUUGUGUAGGAUAGGUGGGAGACUGUGAACCCGGCACGCCAGUGUCGGGGGAGUCAUCGUUGAAAUACCACUCUGACCGCUUCGGAUGUCUAACUUCGACCCGUGAUCCGGGUCAGGGACAGUGCCUGAUGGGUAGUUUAACUGGGGCGGUUGCCUCCUAAAGAGUAACGGAGGCGCCCAAAGGUUCCCUCAGCCUGGUUGGCAAUCAGGUGUCGAGUGUAAGUGCACAAGGGAGCUUGACUGUGAGAGAGACAUCUCGAGCAGGGACGAAAGUCGGGACUAGUGAUCCGGCGGCACCUCGUGGAAGGGCCGUCGCUCAACGGAUAAAAGGUACCUCGGGGAUAACAGGCUGAUCUUGCCCAAGAGUCCAUAUCGACGGCAUGGUUUGGCACCUCGAUGUCGGCUCGUCGCAUCCUGGGGCUGGAGUAGGUCCCAAGGGUUGGGCUGUUCGCCCAUUAAAGCGGUACGCGAGCUGGGUUUAGAACGUCGUGAGACAGUUCGGUCCCUAUCCGCUGCGCGCGCAGGAAAUUUGAGAAGGGCUGUCCUUAGUACGAGAGGACCGGGACGGACGAACCUCUGGUGUGUCAGUUGUACUGCCAAGUGCACCGCUGAUUAGCUACGUUCGGAUGGGAUAACCGCUGAAAGCAUCUAAGCGGGAAGCCUGCUUCAAGAUGAGAUUUCCAUACCCGUCAGGGUUGAAGGCCCCCAGCUAGACCACUGGGUUGAUAGGCCGGAUGUGGAAGCGAGGACUAAAGACUCGUGAAGCUGACCGGUACUAAUAGGCCAACAACUUACACCACA
RNAcentral lists this ribosomal RNA (3068 nucleotides) under Tersicoccus sp. Bi-70. RNAcentral's name for it is "bacterial LSU rRNA". It matches the Rfam family "Bacterial large subunit ribosomal RNA". The record is from RNAcentral. Lineage: Bacteria; Bacillati; Actinomycetota; Actinomycetes; Micrococcales; Micrococcaceae.